UACAGAGGUCCCGAGCGUUGUCCGGAUUUAUUGGGCGUAAAGAGCUCGUAGGCGGCUCGUCGCGUCGGCUGUGAAAACCUGCCGCUCAACGGUAGGCGUGCAGCUGAUACGGGUGGGCUAGAGUUCGGUAGGGGAGACUGGAAUUCCUGGUGUAGCGGUGAAAUGCGCAGAUAUCAGGAGGAACACCGGUGGCGAAGGCGGCCCGCUGGGCAGGAAGGCUCGCAAGAGCCGGCUGACGCUGAGGCGCGACAGCGUGGGGAGCAAACAGG
This 269-nucleotide ribosomal RNA is filed under the name uncultured bacterium. RNAcentral's name for it is "partial 16S ribosomal RNA". It matches the Rfam family "Bacterial small subunit ribosomal RNA", at positions 524 to 776 of the family's 1533-position model. The record is from RNAcentral.